GCAAGUCGGACGGUAGCACAGAGAGCUUGCUCUUGGGUGACGAGUGGCGGAGGGUGAGUAAUGUCUGGGGAUCUGCCCGAUAGAGGGGGAUAACCACUGGAAACGGUGGCUAAUACCGCAUAACGUCGCAAGACCAAAGAGGGGGACCUUCGGGCCUCUCACUAUCGGAUGAACCCAGAUGGGAUUAGCUAGUAGGCGGGGUAAUGGCCCACCUAGGCGACGAUCCCUAGCUGGUCUGAGAGGAUGACCAGCCACACUGGAACUGAGACACGGUCCAGACUCCUACGGGAGGCAGCAGUGGGGAAUAUUGCACAAUGGGCGCAAGCCUGAUGCAGCCAUGCCGCGUGUAUGAAGAAGGCCUUCGGGUUGUAAAGUACUUUCAGCGGGGAGGAAGGCGGUGAGGUUAAUAACCUCGCCGAUUGACGUUACCCGCAGAAGAAGCACCGGCUAACUCCGUGCCAGCAGCCGCGGUAAUACGGAGGGUGCAAGCGUUAAUCGGAAUUACUGGGCGUAAAGCGCACGCAGGCGGUCUGUUAAGUCAGAUGUGAAAUCCCCGGGCUUAACCUGGGAACUGCAUUUGAAACUGGCAGGCUUGAGUCUCGUAGAGGGGG
Molecule: ribosomal RNA, 611 nt
Filed under: Pantoea agglomerans
Lineage: Bacteria; Pseudomonadati; Pseudomonadota; Gammaproteobacteria; Enterobacterales; Erwiniaceae
Description: bacterial SSU rRNA
Rfam family: Bacterial small subunit ribosomal RNA
Source: RNAcentral